CGGUCAGUAGGUUGGUCGUGCCACCGGUACGUACUGGUCUCACUGAUUCCUCCUUCCUGAAGAACCGUAAUGCCAUUAAUUUGGUGUUGCGGGGAAACAGGACUGUUACUUUGAAAAAAUUAGAGUGUUUAAAGCAAGCUAACGCUUGAAUUCAUUAGCAUGGAAUAAUGAAAUAGGACGAUCGAUCCUAUUUUGUUGGUUUCUAGGAUUGACGUA
This 216-nucleotide ribosomal RNA is filed under the name Glomeromycotina sp. RNAcentral's name for it is "partial small subunit ribosomal RNA". The stretch from base 40 to 216 matches the Rfam family "Eukaryotic small subunit ribosomal RNA", at positions 686 to 864 of the family's 1831-position model. The record is from RNAcentral. Lineage: Eukaryota; Fungi; Glomeromycota.